This 251-nucleotide ribosomal RNA is filed under the name uncultured prokaryote. RNAcentral describes it as "partial 16S ribosomal RNA". It matches the Rfam family "Bacterial small subunit ribosomal RNA", at positions 525 to 775 of the family's 1533-position model. The record is from RNAcentral.
ACAGAGGGUGCGAGCGUUAAUCGGAUUUACUGGGCGUAAAGCGUGCGUAGGCGGCUUUUUAAGUCGGAUGUGAAAUCCCUGAGCUUAACUUAGGAAUUGCAUUCGAUACUGGGAAGCUAGAGUAUGGGAGAGGAUGGUAGAAUUCCAGGUGUAGCGGUGAAAUGCGUAGAGAUCAGGAGGAACACCGAUGGCGAAGGCAGCCUCCUGGGCUGAUACUGACGCUGAGGCGCGAAAGCGUGGGGAGCAAACAG